Molecule: long non-coding RNA, 1478 nt
Filed under: Fukomys damarensis (Damara mole-rat)
Lineage: Eukaryota; Metazoa; Chordata; Mammalia; Rodentia; Bathyergidae
Description: lncRNA (ENSFDAG00000033339.1)
Source: RNAcentral
UUAACCUAUUCUGCCACUGCAGAGGGGUCAUUAGUGAUACAGAGGGCAAAGGACUUGCAGAACCUGGGCCUGGAUGGUGAUUUAUCAGGAGCACACACAGGGUGAAGAAUUUGGGCAGCACGGUGAGGCCGGGAAGUUACAUAAAACGCGCCAGACAGUGCACACACGCACGAAGUGAAGUAAACACCCCAAGAAGAAGUCAUCUGUGCCUUAUCGGUCACGGGGCCACACCCCUAACAACCUCACGCUUGCAGAAAUGACCCUAAGCAGUGCCCUUCAGCUCUGUCCUGAGGACCAUGGGCAGUGUUACGGUAGAGAUGGCCCAAAACAGGGAAGAGUCAGCAGAUCGGCUGUCUUUUCAUUUAAAAAAAGUUUUCCUGGGGUUGUGGAAGGAGUCCGAUGAGGCCUGCUUUUUCCAGUGCGCUUCCGAACUCCCUGUGGGUGUGGGUUGGGUGUGGGUCUGAUGCCUGGGACCCCUCCCCCAGAUCACCCUGCACCCUGAGAGAGCGCCUGAAAUGGAACCUUGGACUUUUCUCGCCUGUUUCUGCCUUUUCUUCCCUGCCCCCUCCCCAUUUUUAAAAGGCUUUAUAGAACGUCUCCAGGAGACGAAAAUAGCUCCGGUGGCGUGAGAGGCCUACACGCGGUGCAGCCGCGACGCAGCUCGGCAUGCGCGGCCACCCCCCAGAUCACCCUGCACCCUGAGAGAGCGCCUGAAAUGGAACCUUGGACUUUUCUCGCCUGUUUCUGCCUUUUCUUCCCUGCCCCCUCCCCAUUUUUAAAAGGCUUUAUAGAACGUCUCCAGGAGACGAAAAUAGCUCCGGUGGCGUGAGAGGCCUACACGCGGUGCAGCCGCGACGCAGCUCGGCAUGCGCGGCCACACAAGCAGGGGACCCCCAGCCUGGGCCCAGGCGCUUCCUUCCCCUCCCCCCUAAGCUUUGCGAGUGUAUUUUGCCCUGGCGGGGAUUGGCGACGGUCAAAAGGGAGCAGUUGGCACUGAAUGUCACCCUGAAGGGCUGGGAACACAGAUCAGCUGCUACCGGGUGUGCAGGACGGGGGAGCAGCUCCACGGCCCACUGCGAGCAGCCCUUUCAGCCCUGAGACUUUCCGAGAUCUCCUGUGCAUGCAGGAAGUUUCCUUCCCUGGCGUCAGAUGUAGCUCUGAGCUGUCGUCUUCAGAUCCGAGGAGCCGGGCUCCCUGCGGCACACGAGAGCGGCUUCCUUGAGACAUUUGUCCUUGAAACUGCACCAAACUCUUGGAAGAGCCUAGAACGCAGAGCUACAACUGAUUGGUUCAUCAGUGAACAGUAUCCAAUUAUGAAGAUGUAAGGAAGACGACCUCCACCGACACUGUCACAGCUUGAAAGGUGAGCUGUUCCCUGCAGGGUUGGGAAGCAGGAAUGUUCCUUAGAAACCCUGCUUACCUGUGCCUUCGCAUGGUAAGAUGCCCCUUGGCGUCUUGCUCCUCUGCCCCGAUUCCUC